Molecule: long non-coding RNA, 227 nt
Filed under: Olea europaea subsp. europaea
Lineage: Eukaryota; Viridiplantae; Streptophyta; Magnoliopsida; Lamiales; Oleaceae
Source: RNAcentral
UCUACCCCCUCCCUUCUGGCCUCCGGCACCGAAUAAAAAAACUCAUCGAUUCCUACGACCGUUGCCCACUAGUCUCCCCGACACUCCCUCUGUCAUGUCUAUUGUCAGAACCUGAAAGCCUGCUACAUUGCCUCGAAGUGCUGCAACCUCAGUAUGAAGGUCUCUUAUAUCUCAUCCCAGCACUCUAAUCUCAUCUCGUAGUGCUACUACCUCUAUCGUAAAAUCCC